This 457-nucleotide long non-coding RNA is filed under the name Homo sapiens (human). RNAcentral's name for it is "HSALNT0040362". Lineage: Eukaryota; Metazoa; Chordata; Mammalia; Primates; Hominidae. The record is from RNAcentral.
GAUCUAGGUUGCAUGCUCCUUAUAAGAAUCUAACGCCUGAUGAUCUGUCACUGUCUCCCAUCACCCCUAGAUGAGACCAUCUAGAUGGAGGAAAAGCUCAGGGCUCUUACUGACUACAUUAUGGUUUUCAUAACCUUGACAUCUUUGAAGGUGACAGAACAGUGAUUUUGCAGCGUGUCCCUCAAUUUGCCUUUGUCUCAUGUUUCCUCAUGAUCAGAUUCAGGUGAUGCACUUCUGGCAGAAAUAUCAUGAAUGUGAAGCUGAGAUCUUCUCAUUAUAUCCCAUCAGGUGGUGCAUGAUUUCAAUUUCAUGUCUCAUUUCUCAUGAUGUUUACUUUGGUAACUUGAUGAAGGUGAAGCCCAUCAGGCUUCUCCACUGUGCAGCUGACAUUUUCAUUCUGUAAUUAAUAAGUAUUUUGUGGUGAGAAAUGUUGAGAUUAUGUAAAUAUACUCCUUAU